This is an RNA transcript of Gallus gallus (chicken), 3000 nucleotides long. It is a transcript of the gene named E3 ubiquitin-protein ligase Siah2-like, with no coding region annotated. The record is from RefSeq and is a predicted model, not a curated record. The transcript is spliced from 4 exons. NCBI's taxonomy places the organism in Eukaryota, Metazoa, Chordata, Aves, Galliformes, Phasianidae.
GGGAGGGCGGCGGCGGCGGCGGCGGCGGCGGCGGCGGCGGCGGCGGCUCUCGGGGCUGACGAACGAGGAGCGAAGGCCUCCAGGUCGGCAGGAGGGCAUUUAAAGCAAGCAAAAUAGUGCCAACGAAGGUGUGGAAAAAAGCCGUCGUGCUAACCAGUGAAGCCACCCCGGCCGAGAGGGUCGUUGUCCCCUCGGUUUUCUGUCUCCGCCCACAGAACUCCACAGCACCUGCGAAACUCGAGGCGCCCGCUUUCCCCUCGGGCAGCGCGGCUGAGGGAAGGCGGGCUGUGGGGAUGCGCUCGGUCGCAGCAGCGCGCAGCCUGAGGGGAGAAAAGUUUUCUGUGGGCCGAUUCUUUGUUCUUCUCUCUUCUUUUUUUUUCUUUUUUCUUUUUCCCUCGUAAUGCAGGGAUGGCAGGGCAUGAAGCAGGCGCUGCAGAGCGGGAAGCCGCGGCACGGCCGGUGCCCGAGCAGCAGGGCCGCCCGCUCCCCUGCUUACACGCGCGGGCGGCCGCCUUUGUCUGAGGGCACGCGUGGGGAGGGGGCGGCAGCACCGCACGGAGGGGGUAAAUAAAAGAGCAUGGAUGAAAAAUAACGUUUUUCCAUCGCUGUUUGAUGCUAGGAGCUGGGGGACAUUAGGUAGCGCUACCAAAAACACCUAUCUUGAAGGACAGCAGGCUGCCUCAGUGACACUGAGUGUUUGUUUAGGCACUGCGUGGAUUCUCAGUGAGCCCUGCCCUUUUGAUACGGCUAGCAAAGAAAGUCUCAAGCUGCUCUUAACUGCCAGAUAAUUGUGAAGGAAUUAGCAUGACCGACAAAAUGACAGUGCACGUCAUAGUCCUACGUGCUUUCCCUUGCUGAUCUUCUAACUUAGAGGUCAGUCGUGAAACAAACAAGAAUCAGAGUACAGAUGCUGCCCUGCUGCCUUGGUUAAACGAGAGCAACCUGCCUUGCGGCUCACCACUACAGCCCCCGCCACAGGCUGCUGAAGAGUUGCCUAUUGUGAGUGUGUCACUGCAGCACCAGCCAGCUGGCACGUCAGCAUUUCCAAUGCAAACCUAUUUUUAAAGAUCAUCUCAUCUCACCCGUGUCCAUGACUGCACAAAUAUCAGAUUUCCUUUGUUGUGCAGCUUUCAGGUUCUGUUCAAGGCAGGAUAUGAACUCUUCUAUUGAUUGCGAAGGUGGUUCAGGGGUGGGUACAGUUAAUUUUAUAGGCCAAGUUUAUUCAAAUUCAUAAUUAUUUCACCUUUAAUCUUUUGUACAAUACAGUUCAACAAUACUUGCACUGUCUGAGCAGUACAACUCUUUCCUAUUGUGUGGAUGGAUUUAUGUGGGUACAAAGCAUGCUUCUGUUAACACAACUUGUUCUCUUACAAGAAGGAAAAAGAACUGUCCUGAGAUACAGAGAAUGUUUAGUAGUGUGCUUGUGUCUAUGCCAGAACUGUACCAGCAUAGGAACUGAUUUACACAAAGCUCAGGUACUCUGGAGGGUGCGCUCUCACACUGAUAUAAAAGAGUGCAGUGUUUUCAUUCUCAGACCAGUGUCACAGUUGUAGCUGAUUAACCUCUACAUACAGCAUAAAUUGAUCUGGUUCUGAUAAGGUAAAUGUUACAGCAAGAUUUUCAUAUUUCUAUAAACUAAUAUAACAAUGCCAAACCUUUAUAUAUUUUGAUAAAGUUACGGAAGAGUACAAUCAGAAAAUAUUUGAUCAAUAUUGAGUUUGAAUAUGCAAUAUAAAUGUGAGUCUAUAACCCAUUCUAUUUAUACUGAUAUUUAAAAAAUGCAAGUAAAGCCAAGCUCACAUAUGUACUUACAGAGAAGUGAUAUAAAAUAUAUUAUAAACAUCUUGAUGUUGUUAAACAGUUCAUUAUGUAGUAUGCCCCACCCUACUGAGGAUAAAGAAGUCAAUUACAUGAAAAACAGCAAGAACCACUUUUCUACUCAGUUAUGGUUAUGCUGAAUGUGUGAAGCACAAGUGAAGAGGCACUUACUGAAUUCCUGCUUCAGCUUUAUGAUUAUAUUUUUGCAAUUACAUCUUUUGUACUUUUGUAGCAAGUUUUCAAGAAGCCUGUUUAUGCAUAAGAAUGCAAACCAAUUUAAGUGAUGACACUCAUAGUUCAACACCUUGAGAAAGAGCCUUGCCACUUGCUAUUUCUCAUUUCUCAGGCUAUUACACAGGAGUAGCCUGCUAGCCCCACAGGACUUACCUGGCAGCAAAUUUUGCCACUUUUAUCCAAAAUGAGCUGAAGAAAGUUCUCAGAAAACACAGUGUAUCUCUGCUGGUCACAUUGCAUCAACAACAGGGAGCAAAAGCUAUAUAGGCGCAGCGAGUGAAACUCCCGCUAGACAUUUUAUGUCUACGUAAAUUUCUUUUUUUUCACUUAAUACUUUGGAGUUGUUCUUCGUUUCAAAAUGCAUUUUGAAUUCAAAUAUCCUACAGUGUAAUUUUUUAUUUUUAUUUUUUUUUGCAAACCUGGGUGCGUGCUUCAAACCAGCCAAAUGACACAUCUCAGAAAUUGUAUACAGUCAAAGCAAAAGCUGCAGACAGUCACGUUAAAGGUCCAGUGUCCUGUCUCUAAUGAUGGCCAAGAAAGCAGAUGCCAGACAGAAAAUAUAAACAGGUCUGCUGAAAAUUAAGUACAUUGUGUGCUACCGAGUCAGCUGUUUUGCCUCCAGACCGUCCAUCUCUCAGCUGGCAUCGAUUUCACAGAGAGCUGCUAAAACCUUUUUGCGUGAUCCUCAACAUUUCCUGAGAGAUUCAACUCUUCGGGGACUUCAAGACUCCAGUCUGACACGUGGGUUAUUGCAGCCCUGGUGCAGUGUAUCCAGAAAGCACUCUGACACAGCACCUGGGGACGGUCUGCCCCAGUCGGGGCGUUGGUCAGCCUCGCUUCUGGUGCAGUGCUUCUGCACAGCUCCUGGCUGCCUCCUGCAACAGCCUCCGCCCAAGCUGUAUUUCUUCCUUUUACUACAAAUUAAAAAUACAUAUUUACAAGCUCUAA